Molecule: ribosomal RNA, 438 nt
Filed under: uncultured bacterium
Lineage: Bacteria
Description: bacterial SSU rRNA
Rfam family: Bacterial small subunit ribosomal RNA
Source: RNAcentral
CAGUGGGGAAUAUUGCACAAUGGGGGAAACCCUGAUGCAGCCAUGCCGCGUGUGUGAAGAAGGCCUUCGGGUUGUAAAGCACUUUCAGCGAGGAGGAAAGGUUGAUACCUAAUACGUAUCAGCUGUGACGUUACUCGCAGAAGAAGCACCGGCUAACUCCGUGCCAGCAGCCGCGGUAAUACGGAGGGUGCAAGCGUUAAUCGGAAUUACUGGGCGUAAAGCGCACGCAGGCGGUUGGAUAAGUUAGAUGUGAAAGCCCCGGGCUCAACCUGGGAAUUGCAUUUAAAACUGUCCAGCUAGAGUCUUGUAGAGGGGGGUAGAAUUCCAGGUGUAGCGGUGAAAUGCGUAGAGAUCUGGAGGAAUACCGGUGGCGAAGGCGGCCCCCUGGACAAAGACUGACGCUCAGGUGCGAAAGCGUGGGGAGCAAACAGGAUUAGA